RNAcentral lists this transfer RNA (66 nucleotides) under Cerceris quinquefasciata. RNAcentral describes it as "tRNA-Gly". Lineage: Eukaryota; Metazoa; Arthropoda; Insecta; Hymenoptera; Crabronidae. RNAcentral also lists the same sequence under 1 other name. The record is from RNAcentral.
AUAUUUAUAGUAUAAAAAUUACAUUUAAUUUCCAAUUAAAAAAUUUAAUUAAAUUUAAUAAAUAUA